RNAcentral lists this ribosomal RNA (752 nucleotides) under uncultured Streptococcus sp. RNAcentral describes it as "bacterial SSU rRNA". It matches the Rfam family "Bacterial small subunit ribosomal RNA", at positions 28 to 763 of the family's 1533-position model. Lineage: Bacteria; Bacillati; Bacillota; Bacilli; Lactobacillales; Streptococcaceae. The record is from RNAcentral.
GAUGAACGCUGGCGGCGUGCCUAAUACAUGCAAGUAGAACGCUGAAGCUUGGUGCUUGCACCGAGCGGAUGAGUUGCGAACGGGUGAGUAACGCGUAGGUAACCUGCCUCUUAGCGGGGGAUAACUAUUGGAAACGAUAGCUAAUACCGCAUAAAAGACGAUAUCGCAUGAUAUUGAUUUGAAAGGUGCAAAUGCAUCACUAUGAGAUGGACCUGCGUUGUAUUAGCUAGUUGGUGAGGUAACGGCUCACCAAGGCAACGAUACAUAGCCGACCUGAGAGGGUGAUCGGCCACACUGGGACUGAGACACGGCCCAGACUCCUACGGGAGGCAGCAGUAGGGAAUCUUCGGCAAUGGGGGCAACCCUGACCGAGCAACGCCGCGUGAGUGAAGAAGGUUUUCGGAUCGUAAAGCUCUGUUGUAAGAGAAGAACGAGUGUGAGAGUGGAAAGUUCACACUGUGACGGUAACUUACCAGAAAGGGACGGCUAACUACGUGCCAGCAGCCGCGGUAAUACGUAGGUCCCGAGCGUUAUCCGGAUUUAUUGGGCGUAAAGCGAGCGCAGGCGGUUAGAUAAGUCUGAAGUUAAAGGCUGUGGCUUAACCAUAGUACGCUUUGGAAACUGUUUAACUUGAGUGCAGAAGGGGAGAGUGGAAUUCCAUGUGUAGCGGUGAAAUGCGUAGAUAUAUGGAGGAGCACCGGUGGCGAAAGCGGCUCUCUGGUCUGUAACUGACGCUGAGGCUCGAAAGCGUG